Molecule: long non-coding RNA, 881 nt
Organism: Equus caballus (horse)
Lineage: Eukaryota; Metazoa; Chordata; Mammalia; Perissodactyla; Equidae
Source: Ensembl
GGACUAGAAGCCAAGCUGUGUGGCUGCAGAAUCUGGGCUCUGAAUUAACACACCGGGUACGAGCCCGCGCCCCACUGUCCGGCACCGAGGAGACUAGCUGUCUCUUCUCUCCCAGCUCAGGGCGGGGCUUUACCUAGAGCUGGAGUCAAAACACACACACCGCUAAGGGCCAGGAGGAAAAAUUGAGUAAAGACAUGAAAACUACUUAACUGGAAAAGGUGAUUAGACAGCAGAGUGGAAUUGAUGAUUUGGUGCCUCCUUUUCCCUGGACCAUCAUUCCGAGAGACCACACACAGUUAUGACAUAAAGUCCAGCUGAAACGUUCAUUCCAGAUCUCUCUGAAUGGGAUACAUUCAGGCUCAGGGAGCCGCUCUUAACUGACGGUGUUGCCUAGGACAGAGAGCUGUGGAGCAGCGGGGACCAGGAAUUCUGAGUGUAGCCACCACUCGCUCACUUCACAUUUGACACAUACGCAGUGUCUCCUGUUGGCUGAACCCAACGACAAGCCAGACGGCCAGGGAAACUAGGGGAUGCAGUCAGUAAAGGUCAACCUCGUGGGACACUGCAGAGAAAACAGUGAAGAACCAUUCUGGAGGGACGAUGGAGCAGCAUCUCCAUCAUCUACUCUGUGGGCAGCAACUCUACUUUUACGAAUAUUAUCCAAGGCACAUAAUCAGAGAAAAAGUUCACUGCAGGCCAAUCUGCUUUCCUGGUCUGAAAAGAGCCCAUGUGUCAGUCUGUCUACAGAGCUGUGUCGCUUAAGCACAGGGCAAGGCUGGGAAGGACUGUUGACUAUGGGCUCGGGAGGGGAGGCACCGCAGCACACAGGAUGGGGCAGACAUUUCUGUACAUUCAAAAAUUGGUUGCAUAUGGAUGACUUG